CGUUACACGAACAUGGUGUGAGGAAGGACGUCGGGUUCGGCAGUGACGCACAUGGACAGAAAUACAGCGCUGAGGUCAGCAUCAUGGAGACACAGACUUACCCACAACCACAUGGUGCUUGACACACAAAUACCACGUAUCCCAGCAUGCCCUGCAGUGCAGACUGAGUCACCCAGGGAGGGUCAUCUAUAUCUGUCUCUGUCUCCUAAAAAUGACACCAAAAGAAAUCAUCUUGCAAUAAUUGGGAUAAAGUUUCUGCUAUACAGCAGGGCAGUAUGGAUGAUUAGGAUGUGGCCAGUUGUCAUGAAAAAUCCACAGUGGAAGUGUGGAGAGACGAACAGAGGACGAGCAUCCUGCUGAGAAAGAACGCCCUUCACUUAUUGACAGGUUUACACCUUGUGAACAAGACCCCAAGAUACUUAAACUCCUCCACUUGAGGCAGGAGCUCUCCACCAACCUGAAGGGGGCAAACCACCCUUUUCCGGCUGAGAACCAUGGCCUCGGACUGAUUCUCAUCCCCACCACUUCACACUCGGCUGCAAACCGUCCCAGUGCACACUGAAGGUCCUGAUUUGAGGAAGCCAACAGGACAACAUCAUCUGCAAAAAAGCAG
Long non-coding RNA from Tachysurus vachellii, 613 nucleotides. RefSeq lists it as uncharacterized. The record is from RefSeq and is a predicted model, not a curated record. NCBI's taxonomy places the organism in Eukaryota, Metazoa, Chordata, Actinopteri, Siluriformes, Bagridae. The transcript is spliced from 4 exons.